AACGAACGCUGGCGGUGUGCUUCACACAUGCAAGUCGAACGAGGUAGCAAUACCUAGUGGCGGACGGGUGAGUAACGCGUGGGAAUCUGCCUUUAGAUGGGGGAUAACGAGCCGAAAGGUUCGCUAAUACCGCAUAGGUCGCAAGAUUAAAGGAGUAAUCCGUCUAGAGAUGAGCCCGCGUCCGAUUAGCUAGUUGGUAGGGUAAAGGCCUACCAAGGCGACGAUCGGUAGCUGGUCUGAGAGGAUGAUCAGCCACACGGGCACUGAGACACGGGCCCGACUCCUACGGGAGGCAGCAGUAGGGAAUAUUGGACAAUGGGCGCAAGCCUGAUCCAGCCAUCCCGCGUGAAGGAUUAAGGCCCUCUGGGUUGUAAACUUCUUUUCUCUGGGAAUAAAAAGUGGGGUUCUCCCUACCUUGAAGGUACCAGAGGAAUAAGCACCGGCUAACUCCGUGCCAGCAGCCGCGGUAAGUGCGACGACA
RNAcentral lists this ribosomal RNA (481 nucleotides) under uncultured bacterium. RNAcentral's name for it is "bacterial SSU rRNA". It matches the Rfam family "Bacterial small subunit ribosomal RNA", at positions 29 to 534 of the family's 1533-position model. The record is from RNAcentral.